GGGGGGGGGGGGGGGGGGGCGGGGGGCAGGGAAGGGGGGCGAACGGGUAAGGAGCUGGCGCCGUUGACGGUAGCGGCGGACGGGUGAGUAACACGUGGAUAACCUACCUAUAAGACGGGGAUAACUUCGGGAAACCGGAGCUAAUACCGGAUAACAUAUUGAACCGCAUGGUUCAAUAGUGAAAGGCGGCUUUGCUGUCACUUAUAGAUGGAUCCGCGCCGUAUUAGCUAGUUGGUAAGGUAACGGCUUACCAAGGCAACGAUACGUAGCCGACCUGAGAGGGUGAUCGGCCACACUGGAACUUGGACCCGGUCCAGACUCCCACGGGAGGCAGCAGUAGGGAAUCUUCCGCCAUGGGCGAAAGCCUGACGGAGCAACGCCGCGUGAGUGAUGAAGGUCUUCGGAUCGUAAAACUCUGUUAUCAGGGAAGAACAAAUGUGUAAGUAACUGUGCACAUCUUGACGGUACCUGAUCAGAAAGCCACGGCUAACUACGUG
Molecule: ribosomal RNA, 497 nt
Filed under: uncultured bacterium
Lineage: Bacteria
Description: partial 16S ribosomal RNA
Rfam family: Bacterial small subunit ribosomal RNA
Source: RNAcentral